Tigriopus californicus is the source of this 587-nucleotide long non-coding RNA. RefSeq lists it as uncharacterized. The transcript is spliced from 4 exons. NCBI's taxonomy places the organism in Eukaryota, Metazoa, Arthropoda, Copepoda, Harpacticoida, Harpacticidae. The record is from RefSeq and is a predicted model, not a curated record.
UUUGAUCGUUGCCUUUUCAGUUAUGCUAUUUGUAUUCGCCAAGAACUGGGAUAUUGUUGUGUAGAAUAUUCCGUAUGUCCUGAUGUUGAGGAUACAGGCUUUACCCUUAGCAUAAAAGAUGAGGGUAAGGCAUAUCAUGACACCGAUUGCCAUUCAAUUGAUUAUGUUGGAAUUGAAGGGUCUUCUUCGAUUUGCAAUCAAGCUGGAACCCCGACCGUUGUUAGGUCAAAAUACUGCGGGGAUAAAUUGAAUGACUUCACCGAGGCAGAUCAGCAUGUUCCAAUUUGCGAUUGCUCUCCUCCCUUUCACGUGCAAAUAUUUACAAAUAAGGUAUCUGAGGCCACUGACGAUCCCACUACCGAGGAUGCUAAUGAAAAGUACAGCAGAGGCUUGUGCUUUGAAUAUGUUCAGAUUCCUUGCAAUUAAACAUAUCCUCAUGUCAAGACAGAGCAAACUCCGUGGGUCCAGUUUCCAAGACUAGAAUACACACAAAUUAUGACAAUGCUGUCGAUAAAUAGGUUUCAAUAUGUUGGUUUUAUUUGUUAUCAGUAGCACUCUAAGAGGAAAAAUAUAAAGAUGCAUGAAGC